AGUUAAUUAACUACAUUUUUCUGAGCUUCAUUCGUUCGGCUGGACUUGAUUUAAAUGAAUUUUAUAAAUUCAUUUUUUUUCAAUUAUGUUCUUCCAAGCCCAAGCCCAAGCCCAGCCAUUCAGUUUUUUGACUUCCUUGUUCCCUCCCAUUUGAAGCCGAAGCAUUUAUCGCAUGCCUCCGUUCCGUCCCUCCUUCCCCGAGUCCCCGACCUGCGACUGCGACCUCACCUUGACCUUCGUGGCUUGACGAUCUCUCUGAGGUGAGCUGGACCAGUUGCCCUGCCGCUGCUGAACUAGUAGUGGCGGCCGAUUAUCCACAGAAAAAAUUGUGAUGGAGAAGAGCAGCAAUCAAAGCGAUGGCCUCCUCCCGCCAGAGAUCGUAUUGUGCAGAUUCAGGUUGCGAGCUAUCACGGCCAAAUUACCACCGCACGAUGCUUUAUUUCACAGUCUCUCAGUGGCUUGAUCUGCAUUGAGACUGAGGACGGAAUCCGCAUUUGUAACCCUACCACCGGAGAGCGUAUUCCCCUUCUGACACCACCGAACCCUUAUAGAUCCGAUUGCUUUUUGGGUUGCGACCCCGUUGAAAAGAAGCACAAGGUCCUGGGCUCAUUUAUAGGAUCCUUAAUGGAACUGAUGACAGAGAUCAGCAUUUUUAACUUUCGGCGAGAAGGAGUGGAGAAGGAUAGAUCCCGGUCUAGCUAUUUUUAGCUUUCAAGAUAGUUUUGUGUAUCGAUGGGGUUGAUGCAUAUGGUUGCUCUGGCUGAAGAUAGAAGGGGCUUAUUUUUUUUGUUAUUUGAUGUUAGGUUGGAAAAUUUUCAAGCCAUUCCCUUCCCUGCAGAAUUGGUAUGUGCUGACGAUAUGUCGUUAAUUGAAUUCGGUAGCUGUGCUGCUGGAGGGUAUGGGUGGCGAAAUUAGAUUGUGGCUGCUGGAGGAUCUCCCUAAGCAUCUCUGGAGCUGCAAUGUGUUUAUCCCGUCUCCUCACUUGGACGAUGCUCUUAAUAAGCAUGAUGAAGCGCCGGUGAAUUGGUGUUUGCACCAUCACAAUCUACGGAACCAUCAUACUUGUAUUUAUACCACAUCGAGGAUGCUAAUUUGAGGAAGAUUGAGACCAGCUGGUUAUAUGCAUGCAAGCAUGGACGGACUAAACUAAGGGUGGUUUGUUGCCAUGUGGAAAGUCUGCAAUCACUACGAGACUCCCGUAACGACUAGUGAGAUAUGUCCCUCUCAUGUAUUCGACAUGUAGGUUAGUUUAAAAGUUCGUAGGUCCGGGGCGGAUGGCAAAGACGGGGAAUGGGCAACCUUCUUUGGAUGUGAAAAGUGAAGGCAGGAGCUAUAUAAUGGAAAUUGUAAGAGACUGGUGCUCUCUUUUCGGGCUUUAUUUGGAUUGAGACUGAGGGAGAAGGGAAGGAAAAGAUUUACUGCAUAUAUUUAUGUUUGUCUCACAUAUGACUAUUGUGUGAGUUUCUUGAUGAUUUUGGUCCUUUAUGUGGGUCUCCGUUGCGAAACAAAAAUUUUGUGCAUCUCUUGAUUGCGUAUUGCGGAUGUUAACUA
Punica granatum (pomegranate) is the source of this 1551-nucleotide non-coding RNA. The record is from RefSeq and is a predicted model, not a curated record. Lineage: Eukaryota; Viridiplantae; Streptophyta; Magnoliopsida; Myrtales; Lythraceae.